This 1460-nucleotide small RNA is filed under the name Pan troglodytes (chimpanzee). Its description in RNAcentral is "retained intron". Lineage: Eukaryota; Metazoa; Chordata; Mammalia; Primates; Hominidae. The record is from RNAcentral.
AUUUCCAGUGGCUGAUUUUUGUUUAUAGAGUAGGAGCUGCUGCCCUUGCUUGUUUUUCUCAUGUCUUUCUGUUACACUUGAUAGGUGACCAGUAACUUAGCCUGCACCUGCAGUGAGAUCUCAGUGCUGCUGAGAGCACAGGUUGAUUUGUGAAGUCAGCUUACUUUGUUGCAAAGAUUAAGCCUACCCUAUGCAGGGAAACCAACAUCAUCAUCAUCAUCAUUUGUUGUUAUAAUAAUAAAUCAGUAGAUCACCUUCGAUCCAUCACUAUGAUUGGAAGAACAUCUCAGUAUUACCUGCUGUUGGGUAAAAUAGCACUACUGUUAAUUCUACAGUAGGACUUUUUAACUUUCUCCUACUCCCCUUUGUAAGAGACAAACGAGGUAUGGGUGAGCAAUCCAGAUAUUUGAGGAUUAAAUGAAACAUGUUGAACAUCUGAUUUUAUAUAAGAUGCUGUAAAAAGCCGAAGUGAAAUAGGUGUGCUAUGCCAUGACCUCCACUCAGCCUGCUUAGGAGGCUGAAGGCUGGGGGCCUAUUAGUCCUGGGGGAAGCUGUGAUUAGACAUGGUCCUUUCACGCAUCAGAAUCACGUUUGCUACGAAGUCUCGUAGCAAACAUCAGAUUUUUAGAUUAACUGUAAAUGUUAAUAAAUGAAUAUUACACUAACCUACUUUUGAAUUCUAGGAAUUUUGGAGAGUAAAAGGCUGAACCUUGUUAAAGAGAAAACCAUUAAUCAGACCAUCGGCAACGUUGUCUACCAUGCUGCCGAUCUGUCGCUGUGGUGGCAGGUGCCGCAGUACUUGCUGAUUGGGAUCAGCGAGAUCUUUGCAAGUAUCGCAGGCCUGGAAUUUGCAUACUCAGCUGCCCCCAAGUCCAUGCAGAGUGCCAUAAUGGGCUUGUUCUUUUUCUUCUCUGGCGUCGGGUCGUUCGUGGGUUCUGGACUGCUGGCACUGGUGUCUAUCAAAGCCAUCGGAUGGAUGAGCAGUCACACAGACUUUGGUAAUAUUAACGGCUGCUAUUUGAACUAUUACUUUUUUCUUCUGGCUGCUAUUCAAGGAGCUACCCUCCUGCUUUUCCUCAUUAUUUCUGUGAAAUAUGACCAUCAUCGAGACCAUCAGCGAUCAAGAGCCAAUGGCGUGCCCACCAGCGGGAGGGCCUGACCUUCCUGAGGCCAUGUGCGGUUUCUGAGGCUGACAUGUCAGUAACUGACUGGGGUGCACUGAGAACAGGCAAGACUUUAAACUCCCAUAAAAUGUCUGACUUCACUGAAACUUGCAUGUUGCCUGGAUUGAUUUCUUCUUUCCCUCUAUCCAAAGGAGCUUGGUAAGUGCCUUACUGCAGCGUGUCUCCUGGCACGCUGGGCCCUCCGGGAGGAGAGCUGCAGAUUUCGAGUAUGUUGCUUGUCAUUCAAGGUCUCUGUGAAUCCUCUAGCUGGGUUCCCUUUUUUACAGAAACUCACAA